UGAGGAAUAUUGGUCAAUGGGCGAGAGCCUGAACCAGCCAAGUAGCGUGCAGGAUGAAGGCCCUAUGGGUUGUAAACUGCUUUUAUGUGGGGAUAAAGUGCGCGACGUGUCAGGCAUUGCAGGUACCACAUGAAUAAGGAGCGGCUAAUUCCGUGCCAGCAGCCGCGGUAAUAUGGAAGGUCCGGGCGUUAUCCGUAUUUAUUGGGUUUAAAGGGAGCGUAGGCUGUCUAUUAAGCGUGUUGUGAAAUUUACCGGCUCAACCGGUGGCUUGCAGCGCCAACUGGUCGACUUGAGUAUGCAUGAAGUAGGCGGAAUUCAUGGUGUAGCGGUGAAAUGCUUAGAUAUCAUGACGAACUCCGAUUGCGCAGGCAUCUUACUGUGGCAUAACUGACGCUGAUGCUCGAAAGUGCGGGUAUCAAACAGG
This 424-nucleotide ribosomal RNA is filed under the name Fusobacteriota bacterium. Its description in RNAcentral is "Fusobacteria bacterium partial 16S ribosomal RNA". It matches the Rfam family "Bacterial small subunit ribosomal RNA", at positions 355 to 776 of the family's 1533-position model. Lineage: Bacteria; Fusobacteriati; Fusobacteriota. The record is from RNAcentral.